AUGAGACAACUGUCCACAAGAGAAGCUUGUUUUUCUUUCAUUUGUGUUUUUAUUGCCUUUUGUAUCUUCUCUCAAGUUUUCUCCUUAUAGGACUUUCUCUGAUUGAAUAGUUUUGGCGUUUUAUAGGAUUGUCCUAUGAUACUCAUAGAGACUAGCAUUAUACCUAUACAGCCGGAACAUAGAGUCUAUCAUUAUAUCUAUACAGCCGGAACAUAGAGU
RNAcentral lists this long non-coding RNA (219 nucleotides) under Mytilus galloprovincialis (Mediterranean mussel). The record is from RNAcentral. Lineage: Eukaryota; Metazoa; Mollusca; Bivalvia; Mytilida; Mytilidae.